Molecule: long non-coding RNA, 827 nt
Filed under: Numida meleagris (helmeted guineafowl)
Lineage: Eukaryota; Metazoa; Chordata; Aves; Galliformes; Numididae
Description: lncRNA (ENSNMEG00000018657.1)
Source: RNAcentral
AUUUAACUAGUUGAUCACUUUGGGUUUGUAAACAUCUUUGCUUUCUUAUUUCUUUUGCUAAUGGAUUUUAGUUGCUUAGUAAUUUAAAUAGUUACCUGCAGAUUCUUACCUUCAGAGCCCUUAGUGACACACUGAGUAGCACUUUUUUUCCAGUGAAACUAAUACCAGUUGUUUUAGAAGAGGCUACAGUACAACAUACAGCUUCAGCUAUGGGAUAAACACAUUGUCUGACUUCUUGUUAGCAGCAUUUUUCAUAGUAGGAAUUGAUCGUGACCUUUAGCAUUCUACAUUUAGUAAUUCUGUACAUCUGCUAAUGUAGAGGGACCACAACAGGGAAUAAAUUUCCCUUUCUUAUCUGUUACCUUUUAAAAGUUAUUCCAGUUACCAUUUAAUGUUUCUUUCUCCUUUCUAAAGAAAAUUUUCUAACAGAAAACAUACUUUACUGUCCCUUUUCUAUCAAAUUUUAACAGAUAUGCUUAAGGCUCAAAAAUUUUGAUGAAUGGUUUAUAUAAAUGUGUUUGUGUGAUUGACCACAAGCUACAUAUCUAAUUUUUUGUUUCCAGUAUUGUCUCUGCAUAAACAUGCUUAUGAGUUUUGAUGCUUGCAAACAUCUGCACAAUGGAGAAUAGGAAAGUGGGAGUACACAUCUUGUUCCUAACCUGUCUAGGAGAGAUUUCUGUACAAUAGGGAAGACAACAGCGUGGAUCAAGGAAAGAGUAGGCAAGUGAAAAUGUCUCACUGUCUCGCCCUGCAGACUUAACAUUUAUUAUCUUUUCUCAGUUAGGACAUUAGAUCCAUUAAGGAUUGGUCCUGUUGAAAGCUACUGC